Ziziphus jujuba (common jujube) is the source of this 847-nucleotide long non-coding RNA. RefSeq lists it as uncharacterized. The record is from RefSeq and is a predicted model, not a curated record. NCBI's taxonomy places the organism in Eukaryota, Viridiplantae, Streptophyta, Magnoliopsida, Rosales, Rhamnaceae. The transcript has 2 exons.
ACAGUUACAAACCCUAACACUAAACUCCUCUGGCAGACAUCACCUUCAAAAAUAGCUACCGCCGCCACCACCAAGCUGUCAACAUCAACUUCUCUCAAUCCCUCAUUCUUUCUUCUCUCUCCCACACGUUUUCUUUUCUCUUUCUAUGGUCUGCUCCACUUCUCACUCUGAAGAGGAGCGGUCUCUCUAUCUCUUACGCACUAUUUCUUUGGCUCAGAUUCAAUAGACUUUAAGAGGCACGUAAACUGCUUGAGAAAUUGUCUGAUAGAGAUGGGCAUGGUGGUGUUUUUCGUUGGACUGCAUUUGUGUUUCGGCUACAACUAAGAUACUUGAAGUUUGAAAAAAAUGAGGAAAACCAUCCCGCCUUUUCCCCGCCCCGUCUUUAAAGAAAUGGGGAAAACCGUGGGGAUGGGGUGGGAAAUUCCCUAUAGGGAUGGGGAUAGGAUUUUAAAAAUCAGUCCUGUCCCGCCCCAUUGACAUUCCUACUUCCUGAUGGCUAGGAAUUAGUUUAGUAAGACAUUUAUGGAAUGAUGCCAAAUUAUGUGAGUUUAGAUGGGAACACGUUUUUGAAAAGAUUGGCAACAAGGAUUUAUGCCAGAAAUAGUUUUUUUUUUUUUUUUUUUAAAGAAUAAAAAAGUGAUGGCAGACUAGUAUGGAAAACAAAGGUUUGGUGCCUUAAAGAAAUUUAUGAUUAUGGUCUUUGUCUUCUUACUCCCUAGAGAAAUAGUAUUGUGAUGAUUUUCCAAGUGAGUUGCUCAAUGGGAUUUCCAGUUAAUGGAUGAUGUGGUUAAUUUUUUUUUAAAAAAAAUAUAUAUAUAUAUAUAUAUAUAUAUGUUGUUAUAUUAAA